UUAUAUAGAGAGAAUGACUUAGCCACCAAAUAAUAAAUACUAGAAUCUCUAGACAUUUACCAUAAAUAGAAUUCUAUUUAUAACAAAUUGUAUUUAUAACACUUUCACAAUUUUGGCCCAUAAAUUAUUAUCCUUCUAAUACCCUCCUUAAACCCCAAAAUCACUAACAUCCACCCCUCUUCUUCCGCCGCGGCCGCCGCCGUAAUCUCAUUCAUACGACGACGUUUAGGGUAUAAUCAUGAACGCUCCAUCACCCCACCACGAUGAAGAUGAACACGAAGAAGAGGUCUUCAUAGAUGAAAAUGAUAUCAUUCAAGAAAUAAACGUUGAUGAAGAAGGUAUAAAACAAAAGUCCAAUCUUUUCCCCCAAACUCUUAUUUUUUUAUUUUAUUAUAGUUAGAUUUAUGGACAACUACAAAACAAAUAAUGGUUGCAGAGUUAAUUGAUGCUGAUGAAGAUGAUGAAGGAGAAGAAGAAGGAGGAGGAUUGUUAGGUGAGUUAUGUUUGGCUCAAUGGAAGUCUUUUGUUUUAAGUUUUCAGCUUUCUAUUUGACUUAAUCACUUCUAGAUGCCUUCUGAGUAUAUACAGCUAAAAUUUCAUAUAUCUUGGUUACUCAUGUUUCUGCUGUAAUUACUUUUACUUGCUCCCUACAUCCCAAUUUAUGUGAAUGUAUUUGACUGCACUACAGGUUUAAGAAAUAAAGAAAGACUAUUGUAACUUGUGGUCUAAAACAAGCCAUAUAUUUUUGUGAUUAUAAAUCACCUUAUAAAGGGUAAAAUGUAAAUUUUAAAGUUAAAUUAUUUCUAUAUAUAGAAUGGUGAUACACUAAAAAGUAAAGCGUAUCACAUAAAUUGUGACAGGGAGAGGAUAUCUUGCUGCAAGCUGCAAACUUUGCGAAAUUGAAUUAUUGCUGUAAUUCUGGGUUUGGACUUUGUAUUACUUAUUUUUCUUGUUGGGUG
This 959-nucleotide long non-coding RNA is filed under the name Nicotiana tabacum (common tobacco). Its description in RNAcentral is "long non-coding RNA (NTAB_LNC005545)". The record is from RNAcentral. Lineage: Eukaryota; Viridiplantae; Streptophyta; Magnoliopsida; Solanales; Solanaceae.